Molecule: ribosomal RNA, 837 nt
Filed under: Pleurotheciella guttulata
Lineage: Eukaryota; Fungi; Ascomycota; Sordariomycetes; Pleurotheciales; Pleurotheciaceae
Description: SSU rRNA
Rfam family: Eukaryotic small subunit ribosomal RNA
Source: RNAcentral
UCAUUAUAUAAGUUAUCGUUUAUUUGAUAUUGCCUAUCCUACAUGGAUAACAGUGGUAAUUCUAGAGCUAAUACAUGCUGAAAAUCCCGACUUCGGAAGGGACGUACUUAUUAGAAUCAGAACCAAUGCCCUUCGGGGUUUUCUGGUGACUCAUGAUAAUUCCACAGAUCGCAUGGCCUUGCGCCGGCGAUGGCUCAUUCAAAUUUCUUCCCUAUCAACUUUCGACGGUACGGUCUUGGCCUACCGUGGUUGUAACGGGUGACGGAGGGUUAGGGCUCGACCCCGGAGAAGGAGCCUGAGAAACGGCUACUACAUCCAAGGAAGGCAGCAGGCGCGCAAAUUAUCCAAUCCCGACUCGGGGAGAUAGUGACAAUAAAUACCGAUACAGGGCUCUUUUGGGCCCUGUAAUUGGAAUGAGUACAAUUUAAACCUCUUAACGAGGAACAAUUGGAGGGCAAGUCUGGUGCCAGCAGCCGCGGUAAUUCCAGCUCCAAUAGCGUAUAUUAAAGUUGUUGUGGUUAAAAAGCUCGUAGUCGAACCUCGAGCCUGGCCGGCCGGUCCGCCUCACCGCGUGCACUGGUCUGGCCGGGCUCUUCCCUCUGCGGAACCGCAUGUCCUUCACUGGGCGUGUCGGGGAGGCAGGACUUUUACUUUGAAAAAAUUAGAGUGCUCAAGGCAGGCCAAUGCUCGAAUACAUUAGCAUGGAAUAAUAGAAUAGGACGUUGGUUCUAUUUUGUUGGUUUCUAGGACCGCCGUAAUGAUCAAUAGGGACGGUCGGGGGCAUCAGUAUUCAGCCGUCAGAGGUGAAAUUCUUGGACCGGCUGAAGACUAACUACU